RNAcentral lists this ribosomal RNA (440 nucleotides) under uncultured bacterium. RNAcentral describes it as "partial 16S ribosomal RNA". It matches the Rfam family "Bacterial small subunit ribosomal RNA", at positions 338 to 795 of the family's 1533-position model. The record is from RNAcentral.
CCUACGGGAGGCAGCAGUGGGGAAUAUUGCACAAUGGGGGAAACCCUGAUGCAGCGACGCCGCGUGAGUGAGGAAGUAUUUCGGUAUGUAAAGCUCUAUCAGCAGGGAAGAAAAUGACGGUACCUGACUAAGAAGCCCCGGCUAACUACGUGCCAGCAGCCGCGGUAAUACGUAGGGGGCAAGCGUUAUCCGGAUUUACUGGGUGUAAAGGGAGCGUAGACGGAAUUGCAAGUCUGAUGUGAAAUUCCGGGGCUCAACCCCGGAACUGCAUUGGAAACUGUAUUUCUGGAGUGCCGGAGAGGCAAGUGGAAUUCCUGGUGUAGCGGUGAAAUGCGUAGAUAUCAGGAGGAACACCAGUGGCGAAGGCGGCUUGCUGGACGAUGACUGACGUUGAGGCUCGAAAGCGUGGGGAGCAAACAGGAUUAGAUACCUGAGUAGUC